GAUGAACGCUGGCGGCGUGCCUAAUACAUGCAAGUCGAGCGAACAGACGAGGAGCUUGCUCCUCUGACGUUAGCGGCGGACGGGUGAGUAACACGUGGAUAACCUACCUAUAAGACUGGGAUAACUUCGGGAAACCGAAGCUAAUACCGGAUAAUAUAUUGAACCGCAUGGUUCAAUAGUGAAAGACGGUUUUGCUGUCACUUAUAGAUGGAUCCGCGCCGCAUUAGCUAGUUGGUAAGGUAACGGCUUACCAAGGCGACGAUGCGUAGCCGACCUGAGAGGGUGAUCGGCCACACUGGAACUGAGACACGGUCCAGACUCCUACGGGAGGCAGCAGUAGGGAAUCUUCCGCAAUGGGCGAAAGCCUGACGGAGCAACGCCGCGUGAGUGAUGAAGGUCUUCGGAUCGUAAAACUCUGUUAUUAGGGAAGAACAAAUGUGUAAGUAACUAUGCACGUCUUGACGGUACCUAAUCAGAAAGCCACGGCUAACUACGUG
RNAcentral lists this ribosomal RNA (497 nucleotides) under uncultured bacterium. Its description in RNAcentral is "partial 16S ribosomal RNA". It matches the Rfam family "Bacterial small subunit ribosomal RNA", at positions 28 to 507 of the family's 1533-position model. The record is from RNAcentral.